AGUUCAUCCCUUACUGCCCUGAAUGUGCCCAGUCUCGUCUGAUCUAGGGAGCUAAGCAGGGUCAGGCCUGGUUAGUACUUGGAUAAAUUGCCUGGGAAUACUACAUGCUGUAGGCUUUU
Bison bison bison is the source of this 119-nucleotide ribosomal RNA. The record is from Ensembl. NCBI's taxonomy places the organism in Eukaryota, Metazoa, Chordata, Mammalia, Artiodactyla, Bovidae.